UCCGGUUUGUCACCGGCAGUCUCACAUGAGUCCCCAACUAAAUGCUGGCAACAUGCGACGGGGGUUGCGCUCGUUGCGGGACUUAACCCAACAUCUCACGACACGAGCUGACGACAGCCAUGCAGCACCUGUCUCAUGGUUCCUUACGGCACUCCCACAUCUCUGCGGGAUUCCAUAGAUGUCAAGACCAGGUAAGGUUCUUCGCGUUGCAUCGAAUUAAACCACAUGCUCCACCGCUUGUGCGGGUCCCCGUCAAUUCCUUUGAGUUUUAAUCUUGCGACCGUACUCCCCAGGCGGGAUGCUUAAAGCGUUAGCUGCGCCACGAAAGGAUUCGACACCUCUCACAGCAAACGUGCACCGUUUACAGCUAGGACUAC
This 377-nucleotide unclassified non-coding RNA is filed under the name uncultured bacterium. Its description in RNAcentral is "contains 16S-23S intergenic spacer region". The record is from RNAcentral.